GACGAACGCUGGCGGCGUGCUUAACACAUGCAAGUCGAGCGGUAAGGCCCUUUCGGGGGUACACGAGCGGCGAACGGGUGAGUAACACGUGGGUGACCUGCCCUCAGCUCUGGGAUAAGCCUGGGAAACUGGGUCUAAUACUGGAUAUGACUCCACGGUGCAUGUCGUGGGGUGGAAAGCCUUGUGCGGCUGAGGAUGGGCCCGCGGCCUAUCAGCUUGUUGGUGGGGUGANGGCCUACCAAGGCGACGACGGGUAGCCGGCCUGAGAGGGCGACCGGCCACACUGGGACUGAGACACGGCCCAGACUCCGUACGGGAGGCAGCAGUGGGGAAUCUUGCGCAAUGGGCGAAAGCCUGACGCAGCGACGCCGCGUGAGGGAUGACGGGCC
RNAcentral lists this ribosomal RNA (389 nucleotides) under uncultured bacterium. RNAcentral describes it as "bacterial SSU rRNA". It matches the Rfam family "Bacterial small subunit ribosomal RNA", at positions 28 to 417 of the family's 1533-position model. The record is from RNAcentral.